This 305-nucleotide ribosomal RNA is filed under the name uncultured bacterium. RNAcentral describes it as "bacterial SSU rRNA". It matches the Rfam family "Bacterial small subunit ribosomal RNA", at positions 338 to 661 of the family's 1533-position model. The record is from RNAcentral.
CCUACGGGACGCAGCAGUGGGGAAUAUUGCACAAUGGGGGAAACCCUGAUGCAGCGACGCCGCGUGAGUGAAGAAGUAUUUCGGUACGUAAAGCUCUAUCAGCGGGGAAGAAAAUGACGGUACCUGACUAAGAAGCCCCGGCUAACUACGUGCCAGCAGCCGCGGUAAUACGUAGGGGGCAAGCGUUAUCCGGAUUUACUGGGUGUAAAGGGAGCGUAGGCGGCCUGCUAAGUCUGGAGUGAAAGGUACCGGCUCAACCGGUACAGGCUCUGGAAACUGGCGGGCUAGAGAGCAGGAGGGGGCGG